AUUUUGUAGGCAAAGCUGUUGGGUAUCAGUUCUCCACAGGGACCUGAUGAUCUUAGGUCUUUCUCUUCAUCUUGGGAAGAGUAAGGAAGCUGUUCUCGUCCUGCCCUAGUGUGGCUGAUGUGACAUGACCGGCUGCGCCCAGCAUCCUGCUUUCCUUCCCAAGUUGCGUCUUUGUCCACAAAUCCAGCUAGUGCAUCAUUGAAAAGGUUGGUGUUGCUCAAGAUUAUUCCCAGUCCUAACUCAUUAUUGAGGUUUCGGCCUGUUUGGCUGGAAGACACCUGAUUUUUCCAGCUUCUGGUGGUUCCAGGUGUUUCUUGGCUUGUGGCUUCCUCACUCCAACCUGUGCCUCCGUCUUCACAUGGCUUCUCUAGAACUCUGUGUCCACAUCUGCUUCUCUUCUGUCUGUUAUAAAGAUACCUGGCAUUAGAUUUAAAGUCCACCUUGGAAGAACAGGAUGAUCUUGUCUCAAGAUCCCUCACUUAAUUACAUCUGCAAAGGCCCUUUUUCCAAAUAAGGUCACAUUCAUGGGUUCUGGGGCUUAGGACAUGAACAUAUCUUCUUGGAGGCUGUCAUCCAACCCAGUGCAGGAAUCAUUAGCACAGUCCUCUGCUUCACAGAUGAGAGUACCCCUCCUUGCCAGGUGGUGGUAAAUGCUUUGAAGGAAAAUAAAGCAGGAAGAGAACAACUUGGGGUUCCAGGAUGGAGGUGAGCUUGCGAUUUCAAAUAGGGUGCUCAGGGAAAGCCUCUCUGGUGACAAGACAUUUGACGAAAGAACUGCAGACGUGGGAGAGCAAGUCACACAAGGGCUGAGGGAGAAAGCCUUCCAGGCAGAGGGAACUGAUUGUUCUAUUUUUUGUGUAUUCUUGACAGUUUGUUCUUGUUGUAAUAAUUUGCCAUGUUACUUUUAUUUUUACCAUAUACAUAUUGCACUCCUGGAUUAAACUGUGAGUUAUUUGGAGAUAGAGACUAUGUCUUCUUGUAGCAUCCUCAGCACUAGCAGAGAGCUUGAUGCAUGAAACAUGGUCAGUAAAUAUUUAUGAGAGAGUAAAUAAAUGACUGCGGUAUAAAAGGAUCCAUGGCUUAGAUGACUUGCUUGAGGUCACAUGGCUGGUCAGGGGCAAUGCUGAGACUGGAACACCAUAAUCCUUGCUCUCAUCAGAAAGCAAGGUGGUGCAUUUCAGGCUGGGUGUGGUGGCUUAUGCCAGCACUUUAGGAGGCCAAAGCAGGAGAAUUGCUUGAGCCCAGGAGUUCAAAACCAGCCUGAGCAACGUGGUGAGAUCCUAUCUCUGCAAGAAAUUUUUUUAAAAAUAGCCACGCAUAGUGGCAAGCACCUGUGGUUCCAGCUACUCAGGAGGCUGAGGUGGGAGGAUUGCUUGAGCUUGGGAGCUCAAGUCUUCACUGAGCUAUAACUGUGCCA
RNAcentral lists this long non-coding RNA (1417 nucleotides) under Homo sapiens (human). RNAcentral's name for it is "HSALNT0133101". The record is from RNAcentral. Lineage: Eukaryota; Metazoa; Chordata; Mammalia; Primates; Hominidae.